GACCGUUCUGACCCUAUCCCAAAUCUGGCUCCAGAAAAUCCAUUUAAACCGCCUACGUCACACCUAACCCCAAAUUUCUCUAUCGGUUGCUAUUUUCGGUAAAUCGUGACGUCGAAUCAGACACAACUGAAAGGUGCUGGUCUUUUGGGUCACGUAAAAUCAGCAAAGUCAACUGGAUGCACGAACGGAAAUGCACUCAGGCUGCUAGGUUGAGGUAGAGAAGGUCGGAGUGAGCGUCAGAUAAAUAGUGCGGAAUACAGAGAGCAAUUGAUGGAGAACGUGACAGACCGAAUCGAAGGUGUAAAAUCGAAAUUCCUCCACCAAUUAUAUUGAGAGCAUAAAUAGAGAGUACUCACCGGAGCUGGUUCAGCUUGUUCACUCAGGUAUCCACUGCACCAUAGCACAACACUGCACUUCCGAAACACACGCAGAAAAAUCUAUAGAAUUUUCAGGAUAUAGCGAGAGCAACGCGAGAACUUCCUGUACCGUACAGGAAACACGGAUAGAAAAACUGUAAACAAAUAGCCCGUAAGCGCGAGGCAGCUCGAGGCACCCCGAUCGGUGUCCCAAGACAGACUGAUGAAUGACUGAUUUGACAAUAGUUAAAUUCGAGAACUAAUCAUUCUGAUUGGUCGAGACCCUUAUAGCCAAUAACUAUUAUUCUUUCCUUUGAGUCUUCCUUUUUAAACUAAAUCGAGAGCAUUUCUUAGCAAAUCGGUACGUAACAAAUCGGGAUAUACUCCACGGUCGCUGAGCACCACAUCCUUAACCCGGGUCAGGGCGUUGCUCCACUACCCUUAACCCUAUCAAAACUGUAUCUCCGCCUGCUCUACAACCCUUUGCCCAUCUCCAGCGGGGCGCCGGUAUGUCACCCGGGCUUCUGCUGGUCCGUGGAGACGUCUCCGUCGGGUACUCUGCUCUGCCGGGUGACUCGGUACUUCGAGACUAUUUCUUCACGGCAUAUUUGAGUACCGCGACCUCAACUGAAUAAUAACGAAUUUUCCGAGAGCAUCGGCCUAACUGUACAAAUCGAUUCGAGAACGCGGCUUCUGAUCAGGAUGGCGACUCGAAGGGAACCAGAAAGCCGAAACGUUAUCCGAAUCGGUAGCUGGAGUCGCCUCGUGACCGUUUACGAAAUCAAGUCACAAUUAAUAAAAAUUAUAUGCGAAUUUUCUUUGUUUAAACAAUUAAAUCUCAUUCGCACCACUGUACUGUAAUACUAGCAUUUGCUAGCAGUGUACGAUUUCUAAUGGAAUUUCAAAUUGCAUGAAUCGCAUAGCUAAUGACUUGUACGUACAGUCCCAUAAUUCAUAACUGUUGCACAUAAAUAUGGCUGAAGUCAACUGAGCUCGAAAUAACACAUGUGUUACAUAUUUUCAUGAAUAUUCACGAAUAGUUUCUCAUGCUUGGGCAAUAAUUCAAAAAUUAACAGAAUAAGGACCUGUACCAGGACAAUCAUCUAGUCUGUUAAAUUUCCAAAUAAGGUUAAGGAAUUGUGUUUGCAUUUUAAAGAUGCACUUUAGUGGGUUCCGCUGUGCGAUAAUAGUCGUCUGUUUAAUUGUGUUAAUAAUUUCUUUUGUGAAAAUCUAUUAAUAUGAUAACGUGAUACGUAUUCAAGUAUUUUGUAAGUCGAAGAGUGCAAAACUAUCCAAUUUUCUAAAGAAUCGGAUGGUAAAAAGUAGAACACACGUGAUAAGAUUAAGACUACAAAGUAACGAGUCUGAAAACGAGGUAAAUUUUAGCACGAUAAUUUCAAAAUGAGAAAUUAUUGUAAUAGUAGGGAAACCAGCGAAGCAGAUCUUAUUUAAAACUAGCGAAAUCGAAAACGUAAAUUAUCUUAGAUACAUUCUCAUCGGGAAGAAAGAACUUUGAUAUUGGUGCUCGCUAUUACCGCAAAGUUUACAAAGUUGCAACCCAGACUAUGGGGAUUAGUAAGACAGCAAGUACAACUUUUCAAGAAGUUAUAUUUUCUUGUUUAUAUUAAGUAACUAUUUUUAAACAGUCUUCGCCUUGGAGUACCGCAUGUUAAAAUGCAAGUACUAAAUAUAUAGAUAUACAUUUCCUAACAAGGAAACUGUUCAUGAUCGAGCGUUGACGUUUAAUCAAUUGAAAAACAUCACUACCUCCAAAUUUAAAGUUUUCACCGAGUUAACUUCUCGCGUUCGAUGUACUCGGGACAUGGUAGUGGUACUAUUGGAAAAUACAAAGGUGCAGAAAUAUCCCCGAUUAACCCACUUUAGAGAUUAUAGCGAACAUAGCUUCAGCAUGAAAGUUUCCGUCUUCUUUCCCACCGCCCACUUAUCUAUCUGAAAAAAAAAUAUGUAGAAAAAUAUUGAUGAAAAAAAUACAAAACACUCAUGACAUGAA
Molecule: long non-coding RNA, 2367 nt
Organism: Cephus cinctus (wheat stem sawfly)
Lineage: Eukaryota; Metazoa; Arthropoda; Insecta; Hymenoptera; Cephidae
Exons: 2
Source: RefSeq, a predicted model, not a curated record